This 478-nucleotide ribosomal RNA is filed under the name uncultured Planctomycetota bacterium. Its description in RNAcentral is "uncultured planctomycete partial 16S ribosomal RNA". The record is from RNAcentral. Lineage: Bacteria; Pseudomonadati; Planctomycetota.
CGCAUCGUUUACGGCGUAGACUACCGGGGUAUCUAAUCCCGUUUGCUCCCUACGCUCUCGCGUCUCAGCGUCAGGACAGGCCCAGUCACCCGCUUUCGCCACAGGCGUUCCCUUAGAUAUCUACGCAUUUCACCGCUCCACCUAAGGUUCCAGUGACCCCUACCUGCCUCGAGAACGGCAGUAUACCAAGCAGUUCCCGGAUUGAGUCCGGGGAUUUCACAAGGUACUUGCCAUCCCGCCUACACGCGCUUUAAGCCCAAUAAUUCCGAACAACGCUCGGGACCUCCGUCUUACCGCGGCUGCUGGCACGGAGUUAGCCGUCCCUUUCGUUUGCUGAUCAACCCCUCCGGGUAUUAACCGGAGGUAUUUUCUGACAAACUAAUGAAGUUUACAUCCCGAAGGACUUCAUCCUUCACGCGGCGUCGCUCCGUCAGGCUUGCGCCCAUUGCGGAAUAUUCGUUGCUGCUGCCUCCCGAAG